GUAGCAAGCUUAACCGUUUAGGGGAGGCGUAGGGAAACCGAGUCUUAAUAGGGCGAAUGAGUUGCAGGGAGUAGACCCGAAACCAGGCGAUCUAUCCAUGGCCAGGGUGAAGGUUGAGUAACAUCAACUGGAGGCCCGAACCCACUAAUGUUGAAAAAUUAGGGGAUGAGCUGUGGAUCGGAGUGAAAGGCUAAUCAAGCCCGGAGAUAGCUGGUUCUCCUCGAAAUCUAUUUAGGUAGAGCGUCGUGUCUUACCCUGGGGGGUAGAGCACUGUUUCGGCUAGGGGGUCAUCCCGACUUACCAACCCGAUGCAAACUCCGAAUACCAGUGAGUGCAAUCAUGGGAGACACACGGCGGGUGCUAACGUCCGUCGUGGAGAGGGAAACAACCCAGACCGCCAGCUAAGGUCCCAAAUAUCAGUUAAGUGGGAAACGAUGUGGGAAGGCUCAGACAGCUAGGAGGUUGGCUUAGAAGCAGCCAUCCUUUAAAGAAAGCGUAAUAGCUCACUAGUCGAGUCGGCCUGCGUGGAAGAUAUAACGGGGCUAAAUCAUAAACCGAAGCUACAGAUCUUAAAUUUAUUUAAGAUGGUAGAAGAGCGUUCUGUAAGCGGUUGAAGGUAAGCUGAGAGGCGAACUGGACGUAUCAGAAGUGCGAAUGUUGACAUGAGUAACGAUCAAAGAGGUGAAAAACCUCUUCGCCGAAAAACCAAGGGUUCCUGUCCAACGCUAAUCGAGGCAGGGUGAGGCGGCCCCUAAGGCGAGGGCGAAAGCCGUAGUCGAUGGGAAACAGGUUAAUAUUCCUGUACUUUUUACAACUGCGAUGGGGUGACGGAGAAGGUUAGGCUAGCACGGCGACGGUUGUCCGUGUUCAAGGUUGUAGGCUGGUGUUUUAGGUAAAUCCGGAACGCUAAGGCUGAGAACUGAUAACGACCACUCUAUGAGUGGGAAGUAGUCGAUACCAUGCUUCCAGGAAAAACCUCUAAGCUUCAGGUUAUAAGAAACCGUACCCUAAACCGACACAGGUGGUUAGGUCGAGUAGACCAAGGUGUUUGAGAGAACUAUGGUGAAGGAACUAGGCAAAAUAGCACCGUAACUUCGGGAGAAGGUGCGCCGCGGUUAGUGAUGAGACUUGCUCUCUAAGCUGAACGUGGUCGAAGAUACCAGGUGGCUGCGACUGUUUACUAAAAACAUAGCACUCUGCAAACUCGUAAGAGGAAGUAUAGGGUGUGACGCCUGCCCGGUGCCGGAAGGUUAAUUGAUGGGGUUAGCUUAUGCGAAGCUCUUGAUCGAAGCCCCGGUAAACGGCGGCCGUAACUAUAACGGUCCUAAGGUAGCGAAAUUCCUUGUCGGGUAAGUUCCGACCUGCACGAAUGGCGUAACGAUGGCCACACUGUCUCCACCAUAGACUCAGUGAAAUUGAAAUCGCUGUUAAGAUGCAGUGUACCCGCAGCUAGACGGAAAGACCCCGUGCACCUUUACUAUAGGUUCGCACUGGACUUUGAUCUUACUUGUGUAGGAUAGGUGGGAGACUUUGAAGCAGAGACGCUAGUCUUUGUGGAGUCAUCCUUGAAAUACCACCCUUGUAAGAUUGAAGUUCUAACCUAGGUCCAUUAUCUGGAUCAGGGACAGUGUGUGCUGGGUAGUUUGACUGGGGCGGUCUCCUCCCAAAGAGUAACGGAGGAGUACGAAGGUAUCCUUAUCACGGUCGGACAUCGUGAGGUAAGUAUAAAGGCAGAAGGAUGCUUGACUGCGAGAUCGACGGAUCGAGCAGGUAGGAAACUAGGUCUUAGUGAUCCGGUGGUUCUGAAUGGAAGGGCCAUCGCUCAACGGAUAAAAGGUACGCCGGGGAUAACAGGCUGAUACCGCCCAAGAGUUCAUAUCGACGGCGGUGUUUGGCACCUCGAUGUCGGCUCAUCACAUCCUGGGGCUGGAGCAGGUCCCAAGGGUAUGGCUGUUCGCCAUUUAAAGUGGUACGCGAGCUGGGUUUAGAACGUCGUGAGACAGUUCGGUCCCUAUCUGCCGUGGGCGUUGGAGAAUUGAGGGAAGCUGCUCCUAGUACGAGAGGACCGGAGUGGACGAACCUCUGGUGUUCCGGUUGUCACGCCAGUGGCAUUGCCGGGUAGCUAUGUUCGGAAAGGAUAACCGCUGAAAGCAUAUAAGCGGGAAGCCUCUCCCAAGAUUAAAUCUCCCAGAGACUUUAUGUCUCCUAAAGAGUCGUCAUAGACUAUGACGUUGAUAGGCAAGAUGUGUAAGCGUUGUGAGGCGUUGAGCUAACUUGUACUAAUAACUCGUGAGGCUUGAUCAU
Molecule: ribosomal RNA, 2304 nt
Filed under: marine metagenome
Description: bacterial LSU rRNA
Rfam family: Bacterial large subunit ribosomal RNA
Source: RNAcentral